GGUGGCUCAGUGGUAGAGCAUGUGCUUUGCAUGUAUGAGGUCCUGGGUUCAACCCUGGCACCA
This 63-nucleotide transfer RNA is filed under the name Erinaceus europaeus (western European hedgehog). It matches the Rfam family "tRNA". Rfam says of the family: Transfer RNA (tRNA) molecules are approximately 80 nucleotides in length. Their secondary structure includes four short double-helical elements and three loops (D, anti-codon, and T loops). The record is from Rfam by way of RNAcentral. Lineage: Eukaryota; Metazoa; Chordata; Mammalia; Eulipotyphla; Erinaceidae.